GUAGGGGGCUAGCGUUGUCCGGAAUCAUUGGGCGUAAAGCGCGCGUAGGCGGCCAGAUAAGUCCGGUGUGAAAGUCAGAGGCUCAACCUUUGAAUGCCGCUGGAAACUGUCUGGCUAGAGUCCGGAAGGGGCGAGUGGAAUUCCUGGUGUAGCGGUGAAAUGCGCAGAUAUCAGGAGGAACACCAAUGGCGAAGGCAGCUCGCUGGGACGGUACUGACGCUGAGGCGCGAAAGCGUGGGGAGCGAACAGGAUUAGAUACCCUGGUAGUCCACGCCGUAAACGAUGGGCACUAGGUGUCGGAGGUGUCGACUCCUCCGGUGCCGAAGCUAACGCAUUAAGUGCCCCGCCUGGGGAGUACGGCCGCAAGGCUAAA
RNAcentral lists this ribosomal RNA (373 nucleotides) under uncultured bacterium. RNAcentral's name for it is "bacterial SSU rRNA". It matches the Rfam family "Bacterial small subunit ribosomal RNA", at positions 527 to 898 of the family's 1533-position model. The record is from RNAcentral.